RNAcentral lists this ribosomal RNA (665 nucleotides) under Alexandrium tamarense. RNAcentral's name for it is "eukaryotic LSU rRNA". It matches the Rfam family "Eukaryotic large subunit ribosomal RNA", at positions 43 to 651 of the family's 3401-position model. Lineage: Eukaryota; Dinophyceae; Gonyaulacales; Pyrocystaceae. The record is from RNAcentral.
UAAGUAAGUGGUGGAAAUUAAACCAAAUGGGAUAUCUUUAGUAAUUGCGAAUGAACAAGGAUAUGCUUAGCUUGACAAAUGGAGCUAUUGGCUUUGAAAUGUAUUUGUGGAAUGUAUUACCAACAGAGGUGCAGGUGCCAGCCUAUUAAAUAAAGCGUCAAUGAGGGUGAGAAUCCUGUUUGUCAUGUGCAGCCCUUUGUGCACGGUGUAUAUUUGCUGAGUCACACUCCUUGGCAUUGGAAUGCAAAGUGGGUGGUAAGUUUCAUGUACAGGUAAACAUGCAAUUGAGACUGAUAGCACACAAGUACCAUGAGGGAAAUAUGAAAAGGACUUUGAAAAGAGAAUUAAAUGAGUUUGUAUUUGCUGAACACAAAGUAAACAGACUUGAUUUGCUUGGUGGGAGUGUUGCACUUGCUUGACGAGAGCUUUGGGCUGUGGGUGUAAUGAUUCUUUCUUUGCAUGCCAGUUUCUAUUUGUACAUCUGAUUACCUUUGCACAUGAAUGAUAAGUCUCCUGUGGGGGGUGGAUUGCAUGUGCAUGUAAUGAUUUGUGUUUUGAUAAAUGUGUCUGGUGUAUGUGUGUGUUCCUGUGCUUGGGGAUGCUUCCUUCCUUGGACUUACAAGCCCUGACACACACAUGCUGGCAAAAUGCUUCUGCUUGACCCG